UGACAAAGAUCCCAUUUUUUGCCUAGGGAUUUCAAGAUAUUAUUUAACUUUUAUCAUCAUUCACAUUCCUUUCUUUUGCUAAAAUCAGUUAAAAACUUGAAUCAAUCACAGCAGUACACCACUGCAGCAUUUCCUUUUUCCCUUUUCAUUUUAUUUUUUUAUUAUUAUUAUUUUUUCUUUUCUUCUUCUUCUUCUUCAGGUCUUCUCCUCUGCUCUCCUCUCUUCACCCUUCUUCAAUCAAUCAAUUGCCUGCAUGCCUGCACACACAAAACACUUUAUUCGCAUCAUUUGAUCACUGGAUGAUGCUUCGCUAGUUUAGUUUUGGAUUCUAAAUCGGAGAAAAUUGAAACAAAAACUAUUUCCUGAUCUGAUGGAUCCCAAGAACUCGAAGCUGCCGCAGGAGAUGCCGAGCUUCUUGAGCCUCCCCACCCAGUCAUCAACGCCCCGAAGCCAAAACGACAGCGUAGGGGCAGGGGCGACCAAGCCAGCAGAGAUCAAAGACUUUCAGAUUGUGAUUGCAGAUAAAGAAGAGCCAAAGAAACAGUCUUUAGCGCCUAAACGAAGCUCGAACAAAGAUAGGCACACAAAAGUUGAAGGACGAGGUAGGAGAAUAAGGAUGCCUGCUCUCUGCGCUGCAAGAAUAUUUCAGCUGACCCGAGAAUUAGGGCACAAAUCUGAUGGGGAAACUGUUCAGUGGUUGCUACAACAGGCUGAACCAUCUAUAAUUGCCGCCACGGGAACUGGCACCAUACCUGCUUCGGCUUUAGCUGCCGCAGGCGGCUCUGUUUCUCAGCAGGGGAGUUCAAUUUCAUCAGGUCUUCACCAUAAAGUCGACGAUUUGGGGGUGCACAUGAGCGGUGGGACCCCCUGGCCUGUGGUUGGUGGUAAUUUGGGGAGACUACAUCAACAUGUGGGUGUGGGUGUGGGUGCCAGUACAGGAGGAGGAGGAGGAGGGUUAUGGCCCCCCGGCCCUGCCCCUGCUGCUGCUGUGCCUGUGAGCGGGUUUGGAUUUCAAUCGUCCUCGUCGUCAUCCUCCUCGUCAGGUCCAUCAAUGGGGACCGAGAGUUCAAAUUAUUUGCAGAAGAUGGGAUACCCAGCUGGGUUUGACUUGGCAACAGCAGGGAAUAUAGGGGGAGGGGGAGGGGGGCAUAUGAGUUUCAGCUCCAUUUUAGGUGGGCAGCAGCUCCAGCUCCCUGGAUUGGAGCUAGGUCUAUCGCAUGAUGGGAACAUUGGCAUUUUGAAUCCUCAGGCGCUCAACCAGAUUUACCAGCAGAUCGGGCAGGCUAGAAUUGUUCAUCAUCAGCAGCACCAACCUCCAAAUCAGGAGCAGCAGCAACAACAGCAGCAGCAGCAGCAGCUAUCCUCUAAGGAGAAUUCGGAAGAAUCGGGGCAGUAGAUUGCUCAGUUUCUCUUGGAGUGGAUGGGCCUUGUAUUGUAUGUAUAAUUGCUACGUGUAUAUGGUCAAGAAUUCACUAAGGUUCUGUCCUCAUUGUAAUCGCUCAAGCUUAGCUCCACUUGGAGAAGUGAAAGUUAAAAGAAAUAGAUACUCACUGGUAUUCAGUCAGUAAGGCACAGUUCAACCUCGCAUCUGAAGUUCAUAUGAUAUUAUGAUGCCAUGGGCGAAGUGCUGUUUCAUCGAGACUUGAUACAUUCUCGGAUAAGGUAUGAUGGUAUGGACCAGUCAUUUUCUGGUAUGCGACUCUGUAAGUUUGGUAGCACUCAAUGUGGUUGAAUUAUGCUAAAGUUCAUCCUAAAGUAGCAACAAGAGCGAGCUUUAUCUCAUUGCAAAGAUCAUUUGCCUUACCCUCAGAUCUGAUUUGGGGUUGAGUUUUGCCCUAGUGAUUGGCAUUUGGAUGUGAAUAUGCUUAAAUACCUGUGUAUUGAAGAAGAACGAAGAAUGGAAAUUAUUAUUGCAUCUUGGAUCCAUCACUUAGCUAUAUCUAGCUACCUACCGUAUGUAUGUAUGUA
This is an RNA transcript of Andrographis paniculata, 1968 nucleotides long. It is a transcript of the gene named transcription factor TCP20, with no coding region annotated. The transcript is spliced from 2 exons. The record is from RefSeq and is a predicted model, not a curated record. Lineage: Eukaryota; Viridiplantae; Streptophyta; Magnoliopsida; Lamiales; Acanthaceae.